Molecule: ribosomal RNA, 501 nt
Filed under: uncultured bacterium
Lineage: Bacteria
Description: partial 16S ribosomal RNA
Rfam family: Bacterial small subunit ribosomal RNA
Source: RNAcentral
AUUGAACGCUGGCGGCAGGCUUAACACAUGCAAGUCGAGCGGAGAGAGGUAGCUUGCUACUGAUCUUAGCGGCGGACGGGUGGGUAAUGCUUAGGAAUCUGCCUAUUAGUGGGGGACAACAUUUCGAAAGGAAUGCUAAUACCGCAUACGUCCUACGGGAGAAAGCAGGGGAUCUUCGGACCUCGCGCUAAUAGAUGAGCCUAAGUCGGAUUAGCUAGUGGGUGGGGAAAAGGCCUACCAAGGCGACGAUCUGUAGCGGGUCUGAGAGGAUGAUCCGCCACACUGGGAAUGAGACACGGCCCAGACUCCUACGGGAGACAGCAGUGGGGAAUAUUGGACAAUGGGCGGAAGCCUGAUCCAGCCAUGCCGCGUGUGUGAAGAAGGCCUUAUGGUUGUAAAGCACUUUAAGCGAGGAGGAGGCUACUUUAGUUAAUACCUAGAGAUAGUGGACGUUACUCGCAGAAUAAGCACCGGCUAACUCUGUGCCAGCCGCCGCAGCAA